Molecule: unclassified non-coding RNA, 1916 nt
Filed under: uncultured fungus
Lineage: Eukaryota; Fungi
Description: sequence contains 18S rRNA gene, ITS1, 5.8S rRNA gene, ITS2, 28S rRNA gene
Rfam family: Eukaryotic large subunit ribosomal RNA (bases 869-1916)
Source: RNAcentral
GGAAGGAUCAUUAACACGUAUAUGCGUUUUAACAAUCCCCCUUCACCCCUCUGUGCACUUUGAGUUUGUUUCUUUUUCGGAAGAAAUUGCUCGACUUUCAAACUCAAAUCCUGGACUGUGAUUGAUCCUUAUGGGUCUUCUGCAUUCUAGGUCGCUUCAAGCUUGUUUGACUCCUCCUUUCUGGGAGUUUGAGUUGAGCAUGCGUGUUAUCGUCUUGUUUCUUUCAACAAGGGAUCAAGACAACAACAGUGGCGUCAAACCAAAACCCUUGAACCUAAUAACUCUGAAACCCCCCUAACAUUUGGUGUGCUUGCACACCGUGUUAACCAAAAAUACAAAAACAACUCUUAACAACGGAUAUCUUGGUUCUCGCAACGAUGAAGAACGCAGCGAAAUGCGAUACGUAAUGCGAAUUGCAGAAUUCCGUGAAUCAUCAAGUUUUUGAACGCAAAUUGCGCUCUUGGUUACUCAAGAGCACGCCUCUUUGAGUGUCGGUUUAACUUCUUCCUGGCAGCGUGCUGUCUUUGUGAAGGCUAUUGAGUUGUCUCUCCUUUCUGUUAAUCAGAAAAGAGAGUCACUUUAAACACAAGGCGAAGUGUGGAACUUUGCUCCUGCAAUGGACCCGAAGACGCAGCUGGUGCUGUUUUCUUGGCGGAUUUCAUUGACGUGGAUAAUUCAUCUCUUCAAUGAGGUGGUCCAAUACGUUGAUGAGCCACCAAAGAAGGCACUGCUUCUGCUAUCAGCUUUGGGAGCAACCCGGCGCAUCAGUAACUGAUCCCUCUUUCGAAGCAUUGAGAGCAGUAUUGUUUCAGCUCUCAACGCACACGGUGACACAUCCCUCAAAAAGAUGCGCACUCAACCACCAAACAGACCUCAAAUGAAGCGAGAGGACCCGGUGAAUUUAAGCAUAUUAUUAACCGGAGGAAAAGAAACUAACAAGGAUUCCCCUAGUAACGGCGAGUGAAGCGGGAAGAGCUCAACUUGAAAAUCGGUAGGGCAUGCGUCCGUCCGAAUUGUAGUCUAGAGACGUUACCGCAAGCGCGGGUGUCGGGUCAAAUUCCCUUGGAAAAGGGAGCCAUAGAGGGUGAGAGCCCCGUCUGCGACUCGUCUGCCUGUGUGUGUCGGUGCGUUCAUCGAGUCGAGUUGCCUGGGAUCGCAGCUCUAAAUGGGUGGUAAAUUUCAUCUAAAGCUAAAUAUGGGCGAGAGACCGAUAGCGAACAAGUACCGUGAGGGAAAGAUGAAAAGAACUUUGAAAAGAGAGUGAAAAGUACUUGAAAUUGUUAAGAGGGAAGCACUGGAAGCCAUUCGGGCCGCGUCUCUAGGGUGUUAGCUCUUGCAUAAGGAGCUGGUGCCUGUGUGGGGCGUGGUUGGGGUCAGCAUCAAUUUUUGGCGCGGGAGAAGGUCUGUUUCGCGGUAGCUUCGGCGAAGGGAACGGACUCUACCAGCUGUCGGAGAUUGAGGUACGACAACACGCAUUCGGUCUGGGGGUUGGCGGUGUUCUGGCGGACUGCGGAGAAGAUUCUUCUGCGUGGCUUGCUCGGGGCGCUCUCUGGCUUCUGUGACCAGCUGUGUUCGCGAUGCUGACGAUACGGUUUUCAUUGACCCGUCUUGAAACACGGACCAAGGAGUCUAACAUAUAUGCGAGUAUUUGGGUGCAAAACCCUGGUGCGCAAUGAAAGUAAUCUGGGUAGGAACCUGGGCCUGCAAGGGUCUGGGUGCACUAUCGACCGAUCGCGCAAGCGAUCUUGAGUAAGAGCAUAUCUGUUGGGACCCGAAAGAUGGUGAUCUAUGCCUGAACAGGGUGAAGCCAGGGGAAACUCUGGUGGAGGCUCGUAGCGAUACUGACGUGCAAAUCGUUCGUCUGAUUUGGUAUAGGGGCGAAAGACUAAUCGAACCAUCUAGUAGCUGGUUCCCUC